UGGGGAAUUUUGGACAAUGGGGGAAACCCUGAUCCAGCCAUCCCGCGUGUGCGAUGAAGGCCUUCGGGUUGUAAAGCACUUUUGGCAGGGAAGAAACGGCACCGGCUAAUACCGGGUGUCACUGACGGUACCUGCAGAAUAAGCACCGGCUAACUACGUG
RNAcentral lists this ribosomal RNA (160 nucleotides) under uncultured bacterium. RNAcentral describes it as "partial 16S ribosomal RNA". It matches the Rfam family "Bacterial small subunit ribosomal RNA", at positions 355 to 507 of the family's 1533-position model. The record is from RNAcentral.